RNAcentral lists this ribosomal RNA (477 nucleotides) under uncultured bacterium. RNAcentral describes it as "partial 16S ribosomal RNA". It matches the Rfam family "Bacterial small subunit ribosomal RNA", at positions 28 to 507 of the family's 1533-position model. The record is from RNAcentral.
GAUUAACGCUGGCGGCGUGCAUAACACAUGCAAGUCGAACGAUGAAACUUUAAUGAACCCUUCGGGGAGAAUUAAAGCGGAUUAGUGGCGAACGGGUGAGUAACGCGUGAGUAACCUGCCUUACACAAGGGGAUAGCCUUUGGAAACGAAGAAUAAUACCCUAUAAAACCAUAAAAGCACAUGCAAUUAUGGUCAAAGUGAUAGCGGUGUAAGAUGGACUUGCGUCUGAUUAGCUAGUUGGUGAGAUAAAAACCCACCAAGGCAACGAUCAGUAGCCGGCUUGAGAGAGUGUACGGCCACAUUGGGACUGAGACACGGCCCAGACUCCUACGGGAGGCAGCAGUGGGGAAUUUUGCACAAUGGGGGAAACCCUGAUGCAGCGACGCCGCGUGAUUUAGAAGGCCUUCGGGUUGUAAAAAUCUUUUGUAUAGGAAGAAAAUGACAGUACUAUACGAAUAAGGUCCGGCUAAUUACGUG